Non-coding RNA from Procambarus clarkii (red swamp crayfish), 1332 nucleotides. Lineage: Eukaryota; Metazoa; Arthropoda; Malacostraca; Decapoda; Cambaridae. The record is from RefSeq and is a predicted model, not a curated record.
UUAGGGUCAGUUGCUAGUCUAUAUAUGUUUCUGGACACCGUAAGUGAUGUGUGGCUUGUUGCGAGCGGAGGUCAGUAGUAACUGUUUGAACUGUGUUGGGGGAGGAUGUGUCCGGGUGUGGCUGACCAGCCGGUGGUAAAUACUCUUUCGGCUGCUACAGCUCUCCAGCCCAGGGUGUCGACUGCCUAGUCUUCAACUGCCUCCCAACAUGGUAGCGAGGUCCUGAGCUGAUGUACCCUAUGGCGAAGAUUGAGGAAGUAGUUUCCUGAAGUAAUGAAUGGCACUUUAUAACCAGCAGCCGGCACCAGCUCUGGACAACGUCGGAGUGGACAAGGCCCAGAUCCCGUGGGGAGGAAGGUCUACACUAACAUGUAAAAGUGUUCAGUUAAUUGUUUGGCUAGAAGUUUGUAUUGUAUAUAAAUUUAACAAGCGUGAUGCAUCAAAUGAACAAUCUAAAUGGGCUGUGUUCAAAUGUCAGAAGAUUGCAGAUGCACCUUAAUUGACUGUGCCAUGACAUGGUAAAAGAAUUGCAACUGGGAGGUCUACUGACCUCAUGGCUCCAGAACAUAGAUUGGAAAGUCCUAAACUACAUUCCUGGAGUUUGAAGGUGUCAAUUGACAUUCAGAAUCAGAUUACAAUGGUAUCCAAGCAUUGACUGACUUGAAGUGUGGCUGUUCUACUCUGCACAUCUAUGAAGCUGGUUGUGGAGGGUCCUUCCAACAUAAUUUCAGGGAUGGUGUACAGAACAAUUGGUGAAAGUUAUGCUACAGAAAAUAGUUGUGUGAGAGAAUUAGUUGGUAAAAAACAUGGAUUGGGAAGUCCUAAACUACAUCCUAGAGUUUGAAGGUGUUGAUUGUUUGACAUUCAGACUGAGAUUACAAUGGUAUCCAAGCAUUGACUGACUUUCAAGUGUGGCUGUUCUACUCUGCACAUCUAUGAAGCUGGUUGUGGAGGGUCCUUCCAACAUAAUUUCAGGGAUGGUGUACAGAACAAUUGGUGAAAGUUAUGCUACAGAAAAUAGCAGUUGUGAGAAUUAGUUAGUAAAAAAUAUGGAUUGGGAAGUGCAGAAUUAGAUCCUGGAGUUUGAAUGCUUGACAUUCAGAAUAAGGUGAUAAUGAAGAUUACAAUGGUACCAAAGCAGUGAGGCUAUUCUACUUCACACAUCCAAUAAACUGGUGGAUGUUGUCCUUGUUACUCUGGAGUUUUCCCUGUCCUUUUGGAGUCUUCAGUGGAUUGCAUCUAGGAGGAGCAGCUUCCCACAACCUGAAAUGGACAAUAGUCAAUAUUAGAUGUUACACUGUAUACUAUGCAAUAAAUAUUCUAAUGAAACUA